Molecule: ribosomal RNA, 305 nt
Filed under: uncultured bacterium
Lineage: Bacteria
Description: bacterial SSU rRNA
Rfam family: Bacterial small subunit ribosomal RNA
Source: RNAcentral
UUCCUACGGGGGGCAGCAGUGGGGAAUAUUGCACAAUGGGCGAAAGCCUGAUGCAGCAACGCCGCGUGAAGGAAGAAGGCCUUCGGGUCGUAAACUUCUGUCCUUGGGGAAGAAGAACUGACGGUACCCAAGGAGGAAGCCCCGGCUAACUACGUGCCAGCAGCCGCGGUAAUACGUAGGGGGCAAGCGUUAUCCGGAAUUACUGGGUGUAAAGGGUGAGUAGGCGGCAUGGUAAGCCAGAUGUGAAAGCCUUGGGCUUAACCCGAGCAUUGCAUUUGGAACUAUCAAGCUAGAGUACAGGAGAG